Long non-coding RNA from Solenopsis invicta (red fire ant), 906 nucleotides. RefSeq lists it as uncharacterized. The record is from RefSeq and is a predicted model, not a curated record. The transcript is spliced from 3 exons. Lineage: Eukaryota; Metazoa; Arthropoda; Insecta; Hymenoptera; Formicidae.
GAUGCGCGUUGUUUCACUUUGUUUCUUACAUCAUGCUUCUUACAUCAUGGUGUAGUUGAGUCAGUUGAGAGUAGUGGUCAUGGUCAGUGAUAGUGGUGUAAUACUUUGCAAGUGCCGUGUUCUUACAUGUAAUAUUUUUACAUUGAAUUGGAGUAUUUUGCAUAAUAUCGGAUCUCCAUGGAUAAAAAAAACCUUAGGAAAUUGUGGAAUAAUAAUGCCAAACAUUGGUAAAUUAGAACUUUUGGUUCAACGGCUACUACCAAGAUCGUAGAGUAUAAAGGAAAUUGUGGAAUAAUAUUGCCAAACAUUGGAAACAAUACGAGAGCAAGCAUUUCAUAUUUUAUAUUUGUUGACAGACCUCGCAUAUUUUAUUUUAUAAGUUUUCUAGAAGAGGUGUAUGGGCGGUUUGUUUUAUGAACAUAUAUAAAAUAUGUUAGAUAUUUGCAGAUAUUGCUAAUUGAAGAAACUAUUACUUACUUAUGUUAAAAUUAAAAUUUUAGAAUAUACAAUCUCUAAUUAUUAUAGGCUUAAUUCUACAAAAACGUAUGUAUUUUUAACUUCAAAUAUCUUUGUAACUAAAUAUGGAAUUAGAAUUUCAUUAAAGUAAAAUUCACUUGAAAAUAAUAUCAAAGUAUUAAUUGUGUACAUGUUAAUUUUUUUUUUAACCACGUUGCGAUUGACCAUCAGUCAUUCACUGCAGUGCUUGAACAGUAAAAAUAUUCUAGAUACCGUUUGCUGUGAAUGGAUCCAGUGGUCAAUGAUAAAACAAGAUCUUCCCAUAUAUUAACAAAUUUACAUACUAUAUAAACAUAAAUACUAUAUAAACUUCCAAUCACUGCGCUUUUUUUCAAGUACUCUUUAUGCUUUUAAUACUUUUAAUGCUAAUUUAUUAAAGAUUGUAUAUAA